This 406-nucleotide ribosomal RNA is filed under the name uncultured soil bacterium. Its description in RNAcentral is "bacterial SSU rRNA". It matches the Rfam family "Bacterial small subunit ribosomal RNA", at positions 26 to 423 of the family's 1533-position model. The record is from RNAcentral.
AGAUUGAACGCUGGCGGCAGGCCUAACACAUGCAAGUCGAGCGGCAGCACGGGUACUUGUACCUGGUGGCGAGCGGCGGACGGGUGAGUAAUGCCUAGGAAUCUGCCAGGUAGUGGGGGAUAACGCUCGGAAACGGACGCUAAUACCGCAUACGUCCUACGGGAGAAAGCAGGGGACCUUCGGGCCUUGCGCUAUCAGAUGAGCCUAGGUCGGAUUAGCUAGUUGGUGAGGUAAUGGCUCACCAAGGCGACGAUCCGUAACUGGUCUGAGAGGAUGAUCAGUCACACUGGAACUGGAGACACGGUCCAGGACUCCGUACGGGAGCAGCGAGGUGGGAAUAGUUGGACAAGUGGGACGAAAGCCGUGAUCCGAGCCAGUCGCCGCGUGUGUAGAAGUAAGGUCGUUA